Long non-coding RNA from Podarcis raffonei (Aeolian wall lizard), 884 nucleotides. RefSeq lists it as uncharacterized. The record is from RefSeq and is a predicted model, not a curated record. The transcript has 3 exons. Lineage: Eukaryota; Metazoa; Chordata; Lepidosauria; Squamata; Lacertidae.
CUCCCAUAGGAUUUAGCAAAGGUGCCGCAAGAAGCAGGAAGGCUGAAAUUCCACCCACCACUAUCCUGGCGCUGUCAGAUGAUGGUGCCCCUACUCACAGGACACAUUGAGUGGUGACUUCUCACUUGUUGAAUUCUAUUGAAUCAGUAAAAGGAGGUGAUUUCAAACACCAUAUUUCCUGCUAGGCGAUAAAUCAGCCUGCUAGAAUACCAAGAUCAUUGCUUAUUCAAGAUCAAAAUGCCAAACAGCAAAAAAAUAAAAAUAAAAAUCAUUCCCUCAGAAUAGUUUUUUCUCCUUCUACUUGACAUCAGUGUUUGUUGGGUGUGGAUAGGCAAUGGCAUCAAAACAGCACACAAAAACUUGGGGGAAACAAUUGCGGAGGAGAGAAAUGUAGAUAUUUGUGGCCAUGGAAACAGAAUCAUCUCUGAGCUUUUUCUGGGAAGGUCCUCAAACCUCACACCCUUCCAGGAGGUCAGAUGCAACCAAAUAAUUCCCUCAGCCAUGAGGCAAGCAUGUAGGCACAAGGCUGGUGGGAGCUGAUAGGGAUUCCUGGUUAACCAGAAUUUGUUUGAAGCACUGGCUGAACUCUGUGGUCUUAGUUGCUGUCUCAGUCCCUGGAAGCAAUUUGUGGUGAGAAGGGAGAUGGAGCCUCAAACAAAGAGCUCCCCUAGAGAAGGACGGUGGAGCAAGAGUUAUGCAAAGCUCUGGUGGUGGCGAGGCAGCUGCUGGGAAGGGCAUAUCUGGUUUUCAUUUCCAUUAGCUUGAAAGGAAGGGAGAAGAAAUUGAUAGUUCAUUAGCAAGACAAGAUAGCGAACAGAGAAAAGGGAGAACGCAAAUUCUAUUGGGCUUGUCCAUAAGCCACACACAAAGCACAAAGAAUUGGA